RNAcentral lists this ribosomal RNA (478 nucleotides) under uncultured bacterium. Its description in RNAcentral is "partial 16S ribosomal RNA". It matches the Rfam family "Bacterial small subunit ribosomal RNA", at positions 28 to 523 of the family's 1533-position model. The record is from RNAcentral.
GACGAACGCUGGCGGCGUGCUUAACACAUGCAAGUCGAACGGUAAGGCCCUUCGGGGUACACGAGUGGCGAACGGGUGAGUAACACGUGGGUGAUCUGCCCUGCACUUCGGGAUAAGCCUGGGAAACUGGGUCUAAUACCGGAUAGGACCACUGCCUGCAUGGGGGGUGGUGGAAAGCUUUUGCGGUGUGGGAUGGGCCCGCGGCCUAUCAGCUGGUUGGUGGGGUGAUGGCCUACCAAGGCGGCGACGGGUAGCCGGCCUGAGAGGGUGACCGGCCACACUGGGACUGAGAUACGGCCCAGACUCCUACGGGAGGCAGCAGUGGGGAAUAUUGCACAAUGGGCGCAAGCCUGAUGCAGCGACGCCGCGUGAGGGAUGACGGCCUUCGGGUUGUAAACCUCUUUCAGCACCGACGAAGCGCAAGUGACGGUAGGUGCAGAAGAAGGACCGGCCAACUACGUGCCAGCAGCCGCCGCGG